Klebsiella pneumoniae subsp. pneumoniae MGH 78578 is the source of this 137-nucleotide non-coding RNA. Lineage: Bacteria; Pseudomonadati; Pseudomonadota; Gammaproteobacteria; Enterobacterales; Enterobacteriaceae. The record is from Rfam.
UUAUCGCCCGAUCAUCCCGCCGGCUCUGCCAGUGGUAAACGGUUCUGCUCUGCAUCAGCAGUCCGCAUCCCCGUCGGACACUGAUACGGUAAGCCUCCCGCAGAAAAUGCACCGCCUGACGCUUCUGAGCCGGCCUC